GACGAACGCUGGCGGCGUGCUUAACACAUGCAAGUCGAACGGAAAGGCCCUGCUUGCCGGGUACUCGAGUGGCGAACGGGUGAGUAACACGUGGGUGAUCUGCCCUGCACUUCGGGAUAAGCCUGGGAAACUGGGUCUAAUACCGGAUAGGAGCCAUUUUUAGUGUGAUGGUUGGAAAGUUUUUUCGGUGUAGGAUGAGCUCGCGGCCUAUCAGCUUGUUGGUGGGGUAAUGGCCUACCAAGGCGGCGACGGGUAGCCGGCCUGAGAGGGUGGACGGCCACAUUGGGACUGAGAUACGGCCCAGACUCCUACGGGGGGCAGCAGUGGGGAAUAUUGCACAAUGGGCGCAAGCCUGAUGCAGCGACGCCGCGUGGGGGAUGACGGCCUUCGGGUUGUAAACUCCUUUCGCUAGGGACGAAGCUUUUUGUGACGGUACCUAGAUAAGAAGCACCGGCUAACUACGUG
This 465-nucleotide ribosomal RNA is filed under the name uncultured bacterium. RNAcentral's name for it is "partial 16S ribosomal RNA". It matches the Rfam family "Bacterial small subunit ribosomal RNA", at positions 28 to 507 of the family's 1533-position model. The record is from RNAcentral.